Molecule: small nuclear RNA, 135 nt
Organism: Erpetoichthys calabaricus (reedfish)
Lineage: Eukaryota; Metazoa; Chordata; Cladistia; Polypteriformes; Polypteridae
Source: Ensembl
GCAAGAAGCAAAAAUAUAGAAAGCUAGAACUUCCCUUGACAAGGACAGAGAAGGCCCGCUUUGCCUUGUAACACAUGCAAGCUUGAGAAUUCUGUUCAACAUUUCAGUGUAAAUUGAGUAUGGGCAAAGAUUUUU